This 208-nucleotide long non-coding RNA is filed under the name Lathyrus oleraceus (garden pea). RNAcentral describes it as "Pisum sativum (pea) long non-coding RNA (PSAT_LNC019098)". Lineage: Eukaryota; Viridiplantae; Streptophyta; Magnoliopsida; Fabales; Fabaceae. The record is from RNAcentral.
AAAGAAGGAGAUGGAGAAUGGAUAAGGAAAUGGAAAGAAUAAAGUGCAUAAGAUAAAAUAAGAAUGUGCCAAUCCAUGUGUAUUGACCAAAUGACAUUGAAAGUCAAAGUCCAACAAUGAGAAAUCAGAAAUGAGAUGAAGAUUGGAGGUUAAACAAUAAACAAAAUAUUUUUGGCAUUUUUAAUAUUAAUAUAAACUUGAAUUAAAA